This 450-nucleotide ribosomal RNA is filed under the name uncultured bacterium. RNAcentral describes it as "bacterial SSU rRNA". It matches the Rfam family "Bacterial small subunit ribosomal RNA", at positions 354 to 796 of the family's 1533-position model. The record is from RNAcentral.
GUGGGGAAUUUUGGACAAUGGGGGCAACCCUGAUCCAGCCAUGCCGCGUGCGGGAAGAAGGCCUUCGGGUUGUAAACCGCUUUUGUCAGGGAAGAAAUCCUUUGGGUUAAUACCUCGGAGGGAUGACGGUACCUGAAGAAUAAGCACCGGCUAACUACGUGCCAGCAGCCGCGGUAAUACGUAGGGUGCGAGCGUUAAUCGGAAUUACUGGGCGUAAAGCGUGCGCAGGCGGUUUUGUAAGAUCGAUGUGAAAUCCACGGGCUGAACCUGGGAACUGCAUUGGUGACUGCAAGGCUGGAGUGCGGCAGAGGGGGAUGGAAUUCCGCGUGUAGCAGUGAAAUGCGUAGAUAUGCGGAGGAACACCGAUGGCGAAGGCAAUCCCCUGGGCCUGCACUGACGCUCAUGCACGAAAGCGUGGGGAGCAAACAGGAUUAGAUAACCGGGUAGUCC